Long non-coding RNA from Seriola aureovittata, 788 nucleotides. RefSeq lists it as uncharacterized. The record is from RefSeq and is a predicted model, not a curated record. The transcript has 2 exons. Lineage: Eukaryota; Metazoa; Chordata; Actinopteri; Carangiformes; Carangidae.
GAAAGAGAAAGCUUCACCCAUCCCGAGAGGUCAUGUUCAUUAAAAUAAUAAUUAAAAAAGAAAAAAAAAAAAGAGAACCAAGUGCUGACACGAUUCAGAUUCCCCCAGAUGAAGCGGUGUUUUUCCGGUUUAAAUGCGGGAUGAUGAAGCGCUGUCCUCCGUCACCCACGGUCACAUUUACGGGAGAAAACGGUGAUGGAGGGUGAUGAGACCCUGAUCUACCACGGCUCCGACUAUCUGAUGUUUCUUCCUCUUCUCUCGACUCAGGACUCGUCGCCGCUUGAAAAGCUUCUUCCCCAACUCCUGCAAAGAAACGACAGAGACCACUGAUGUUCUCUGGGUGAUAACAGUUCACAGAAAAACUAUGUGUCAGCUCCUACACUUCAAGUCACUGCAACAGUAAACAGGUUUUCUACUGCACUGGAAACAAAAAAACUUCAUCUUGUAAUGUGACCCUGAGUCCAGCAGACUGAUAACACCACAGGAAACGAUCCAUAGACCCAGUUUAUCUCUCGAGUCAAAGAUAAGCAUCAAUCUUUCUGGAAAACACUUACAACUGCUCUGAAGGGAUUUCCAAGAAUCUCAAAGACUAAGCUAGACAGACUAGACGGAUAAGAUUUAAAAUACUUUUAUUGUGUAGAACAAGGAGGGCGAUACAGACAAAUUUAACUAAAAACUGAGCCAUUAUUAUGGAAAUCAGUGUGUUGUUUAUUGAAUGAUAUAAUGGCCUCACAUGGUUUUUGUUUUACAAAAAUAAAACAGACAAAAGUCUAAAAACUGAAUCCAGA